Molecule: ribosomal RNA, 464 nt
Filed under: uncultured bacterium
Lineage: Bacteria
Description: partial 16S ribosomal RNA
Rfam family: Bacterial small subunit ribosomal RNA
Source: RNAcentral
CUACGGGGCGCUCCAGUGGGGAAUAUUGGACAAUGGGGGAAACCCUGAUCCAGCAAUGCCGCGUGUGUGAAGAAGGCCUGCGGGUUGUAAAGCACUUUCGGUUGGGAGGACUGCUUCUAGCACUAAUAUUGUUGGAAGUUGACGUUACCUUCAGAAGAAGCACCGGCUAACUCCGUGCCAGCAGCCGCGGUAAUACGGAGGGUGCAAGCGUGAAUCGGAAUUACUGGGCGUAAAGCGCGGGUAGGCGGCUAGAUCAGUCGGGGGUAAAGCCCCGGGCUUAACCUGGGAAUUGCAUCCGAUACUGUCUGGCUAGAGUACAGGAGAGGAGAGUGGAAUUCCACAUGUAGCGGUGAAAUGCGUAGAUAUGUGGAGGAACACCAAUGGCGAAGGCAGCUCUCUGGCCUGAUACUGACGCUGAGGUGCGAAAGCGUGGGGAGCAAACAGGAUUAGAUACCCGAGUAGUC